This is an RNA transcript of Calidris pugnax (ruff), 2478 nucleotides long. It is a transcript of the gene named RNA pseudouridylate synthase domain containing 1, with no coding region annotated. The record is from RefSeq and is a predicted model, not a curated record. Lineage: Eukaryota; Metazoa; Chordata; Aves; Charadriiformes; Scolopacidae. The transcript is spliced from 7 exons.
CGACACGACGCUGGACGCGGCGGCGGCGGCGCUGAUUGGACGCGACGCGCGGCCCCGGGCCCGGUGCCGCUGCUGGAUACGAUGUAGCCGCUCGCCCGCCCCGCCCGGCCCGGGGACAGCGCUGCAGGGCGCUGGCCAUGGAGCCGGGCACCAUCGACAACCUGUCCAUCCUGUACCAGAGCUCCGACUUCAUCGUGGUCAACAAGCACUGGGACAUCCGCAUCGACAGCAAGAUGUGGUACGAGACCCUGACCCUGCAGAGCCAGCUCAAGUACCGCUUCCCCGAGCUGGCCGACCCCGACACCUACUACGGCUUCAGGUUCUGCCACCAGCUCGACUUCUCCACCAGCGGGGCCCUGUGCGUCGCGCUCAACAAAGCAGCAGCGGGGAGUGCCUACAAGUGUUUUAAAGACCGACUGGUGACCAAAGCUUAUCUCGCCCUGGUCAGGGGCCACGUCAGCCAGAGCCGAAUGACGAUCCGCUACGCCAUAGGGAAGAACACCACUGAGGGCAUGACCCACAUGAUGUGCAUCGAUGGGACGGAGGGCUGUGAAAAUCCCAAACCUUGCCAGUCGGAGCUGAUCGUGCUCGAACACGGGUCCUACAGCGGAGACCCCGUAACCAAAGUGCUGCUGCAGCCGCUGACAGGGCGGACUCAUCAGCUCCGGGUUCACUGCAGCGCCAUUGGCCACCCCAUCGUGGGGGACUUCACCUACAGCCACAAGAAGGACAGCAGUCCCUACAGGAUGAUGCUCCACGCCUACUACCUGCGCAUCCCCACCGGCAAGGAGCUCAUCGAGGUCUGCGCGCCCGACCCCUUCGUCACCGCCAUGGACAGCAACUGGGUGCCCCACCACGUCAUUCACCAGCUGGAUGAGACCAUCCAAGAGCUGAAGGACAAGAUGAUGCAGAAAGGAGAAGAGGAGGAGAGCCAGGAAGCCGUGCUUGGUGGCCAGGGAGAGGAGGCACAGCAUGAAGCCAAGAGCCCGGAGACGGAGGAGCAGCGAGCCCAGUGUCAACAGUGGUUGGCCGAGUGGGCUUUGGAGUGAGCACAAACCACACCUCUGCAUUUCCAGCCCAAUGCUCCAUUUUCGUCCCAGUGGGUCCCCACAGAGCCCAGCGCUGACUCCACAUCUGCACUUUCUGUAUGCCGUGGCUUCCCUCACAUCUGGGGCUGGGCCUAGACAGAUUUUAGCAGCGAUUAGGGAUUAGGAUGGGUUAAUUUUUUAAUGUACACAUCAUCCAUCUGGCCAGUGGAUGCCCCUUUCCUAAUUCUGGGCCUUCAGCAGCAGAGUCAGUGUGUCAUGUACCAGCUUAGAGUGACCCCAAAGCUUUACAUCCCUGUCCCAGGGCUCAGGUAUAGCCGAGGCAGCACCAACGCUGCCUUUACCAUGAGUGUGAUGGACGUAUCUGCAAACCCUCAGUGCUUGGAUGCUAAAGACCAGCCCAGCAAAGGGAGAGAACAUCCCGGGUGCAGCUUCAGGGGGUGUGUGUCCCAUUCCCUUUGCUCCCGGGUGUUUUGCCCUGGAGCUGGGCUGUGCCACGGGUGCAGGAGAGGUCCCUGCCUGCCCGACCCUGCUCUCACGCUUCCCUCCCUGCCUCGGCUCACGUGUGGGUUUUUUAAAGGUUUGUUGAAGGCGAGUGAGUUGAUACGAAUGGAUUUUAAACUUUUUUUUUUAAAAUUUCUAUGAGAAGAAUCCAGUCUUUUAGCAGUUCUGAAAUACGGGUGGUCUCCGAAAUGCGUGUAUUUUUAGUAUUUCUGUGGUCAGAAUAGCCAGCAGCCCAAAGCUUUUUUAAUAGAUCUUAUUAUUCCUUAUGAUCUAUUUUAAUAGAUCUUAUUACUCUACGAGCAUUGCCUUUUCUUAGCACCCACUCUUAUUCUGGAUGUGGACCUAACUCCUGCUGAGGCAGGUCAGAAGACACAAGCCCCUUUCUGCUUUGCACAGACGAGAAGGAAUCUGUUUUUGUCCCGUGGCGUGGCUCCUUUCUGGUGGGUUUCUGUGUGGGUGUCAGCACCCAGGUGUGCCACGGGCAGGACCUACGGGUGGGCAGUUUGGGAGAGCUCUGGAGCAGCGAAAGCUGCUGAGGAAAUGGUUAAAGCUAAAAGAAAGGCUGAGGACUGUCGGGAAGAGUGGGAAGGAGCUCAUCUCACAACGGAACUCAGCUUUGCAAGAUGCCAAGAGGAGUUUCUCUGGAAACUUUGCAGGAUGCAAGAUGCCAAGAGGAGUUUUUCCUGCAGUCUCUGGAGGACGUUUUGGAAAUGAAGAGAGCGGGGGUGGGCUGGGGAGGGACAGAGGUGGCUGGAGCCCCUUGCACAGAGAGCACCCAUCCCUGGGUAUUCAGCACCAAGCCACCACAUCAGCACAUGCCCGGAGCUAUCGUCACCUCACAAGCCCUGUCCCAUUUAAAAUGCACCUGACAGUGGUUUCAUGCAACUCAUGUUCCUACCCUGAGGGGAAAUAAAACAGCACAACCCUC